GAUGAACGCUGGCGGCGUGCCUAAUACAUGCAAGUCGAGCGAACGGACGAGAAGCUUGCUUCUCUGAUGUUAGCGGCGGACGGGUGAGUAACACGUGGAUAACCUACCUAUAAGACUGGGAUAACUUCGGGAAACCGGAGCUAAUACCGGAUAAUAUUUUGAACCGCAUGGUUCAAAAGUGAAAGACGGUCUUGCUGUCACUUAUAGAUGGAUCCGCGCUGCAUUAGCUAGUUGGUAAGGUAACGGCUUACCAAGGCAACGAUGCAUAGCCGACCUGAGAGGGUGAUAGGCCACCCUGGAACUGAGACACGGUCCAGACUCCUACGGGAGGCAGCAGUAGGGAAUCUUCCGCAAUGGGCGAAAGCCUGACGGAGCAACGCCGCGUGAGUGAUGAAGGUCUUCGGAUCGUAAAACUCUGUUAUUAGGGAAGAACAUAUGUGUAAGUAACUGUGCACAUCUUGACGGUACCUAAUCAGAAAGCCACGGCUAACUACGUG
This 497-nucleotide ribosomal RNA is filed under the name uncultured bacterium. RNAcentral's name for it is "partial 16S ribosomal RNA". It matches the Rfam family "Bacterial small subunit ribosomal RNA", at positions 28 to 507 of the family's 1533-position model. The record is from RNAcentral.